This is a long non-coding RNA of Phasianus colchicus (ring-necked pheasant), 1595 nucleotides long. NCBI's taxonomy places the organism in Eukaryota, Metazoa, Chordata, Aves, Galliformes, Phasianidae. The record is from Ensembl.
GUGGGGCUGGAUUAUAGGGUUGGAGGGGGCGUUUGGGACUGAGUUAUGGGGCUGGGGGGUUUUGGGGCUGAGUUGUGGGGCUGGGGGGAAACUUGGGGAGCUGGGGGACUGACUGAUGGGGUCUCUGUGGGUCGCUAUGGGGUCUCUAUGGCCUCUCUGUGCCUCUCUAUGGUCUCCACGUAUCCCUAAGGCCCCUCUAUCGUCUCUCUAUGUCCUCUCUAUGGUCCCCACGUAUCCCUGUGGCCGCUCUAUGUCCGCUCUCUGGCCCUCCUACGCUCUCUAUGGUCCCCACGUGACCCUGCGUGCUGUGCGCCGUGCCGCCCUUCAGGUUCAGCUCCCGCACGAACAGCACGGAUCUGUACCACGUGACCCGGCGCCAUUGGAGCUCCCUGCGCUUCCGGGACGGCGCUUCCGGAGCGGCGCCCCCUACCGGCUUCCACAGCGCCGAACGCAUCGGCCGCUACAUGGUGCUGUUCGGGGGCAGCGUCCACCAGCACUACCAGCAGGAGCGGUGCUACGGGGACGGGAUUUUCUUCUACCACCUGGGCUGCCACCAGUGGGUGCCCGGCCCCACGCUGACACCCGGAGCUGGUGAGCCCCACAAGUGGGGGGGGGAUCUGUGGGGGGGGGGGUGACCCAUAGAUCGGGGUCUUGGGGGGGGGGGUGUGACCCAUAGAUUGGGUGGGGGGUGACCCAUAGAUGUGGGGUGACCCAUAGAUUGGGGUCUGGGGGGUGAGGGUGACCCAUAGAUGUGGGGUGACCCAUAGAUUGGGUGGGGGGUGACCCAUAGAUUGGAGUCUGGGGGGGGUGACCGAUAGAUGUGGGGUGACCCAUAGAUUGGGUUGAGGGGGGACCCAUAGAUGUGUGGGGUGACCCAUAGGUGUGGGGUGACCCAUAGAUUGGGAUCUGGGGGGUGAGGGUGACCCAUAGAUGUGGGGGGACCCAUAGAUUGGGGUCUGGGGUGACCCAUAGAUCUGGGGUGUGACCCAUAGAUGUGUGGGGUGCCCCAUAGAUUUGGGCCAACUGGGGGCCAUUUUUGCCCCAUUUCCCCCAAAUUUGGGGCUGAUUUCCCCCAUUUUUGCCCCAUUUCCCCCCAUUUCUUCGCAAUUUCCCCCAAUUUGGGGCUGAAUUCUUCCCAUUUUUGCCCCAUUUCCCCCAUUUUUGCCCCAUUUCCCCCAUUUUUGCCCCAUUUCCCCCCAUUUGUUCCCAAUUUCCCCCUUUUUGGGUCCAUUUGGGGCUGAUUUCCCCCAUUUUUGCCCCAUUUCCCCCAAUUUGGGUCCAUUUGGGGCUGAAUUCUCCCCAUUUUUUCCCCACUUCCCCCAUUUUUGCCCCACUUCCCCCAUUUCCCCCAUUUUUGCCCCAUUUCCCCCAUUUUUGCCCCAUUUCCCCCACCUUGGGGCCGAUUUCCCCCAUUUUGGGCUCAUUUCCUUCAAUUUGGGGCGGAUUUUCCCCGUUUGUGCCCCAUUUCCCCCAAUUUCUUCCUAAUUUCUUCUCAUUUGGGUCAAUUUGGGGUUGAAUUUCCCACUUUUGAGGCCCAUUUCCCCCAUUUUUUGCCCCAUUUCCCCCAAUUUGGGGCUGAUUUCCCCCCAUUUCCC